UACGAAGGGGGCUAGCGUUGCUCGGAAUCACUGGGCGUAAAGGGUGCGUGGGCGGGUCUUUAAGUCAGGGGUGAAAUCCUGGAGCUCAACUCCAGAACUGCCUUUGAUACUGAAGAUCUUGAGUUCGGGAGAGGUGAGUGGAACUGCGAGUGUAGAGGUGAAAUUCGUAGAUAUUCGCAAGAACACCAGUGGCGAAGGCGGCUCACUGGCCCGAUACUGACGCUGACGCACGAAAGCGUGGGGAGCAAACAGG
This 253-nucleotide ribosomal RNA is filed under the name uncultured bacterium. Its description in RNAcentral is "partial 16S ribosomal RNA". It matches the Rfam family "Bacterial small subunit ribosomal RNA", at positions 524 to 776 of the family's 1533-position model. The record is from RNAcentral.